UCUCCUGUAGCUCAAUGGCAGAGCAGACGGCUGUUAACCGUCAGGUUGUUGGUUCGAGUCCAGCCGGGAGAGC
Molecule: transfer RNA, 73 nt
Filed under: Streptomyces phage BRock
Lineage: Duplodnaviria; Heunggongvirae; Uroviricota; Caudoviricetes
Description: tRNA-Asn
Rfam family: tRNA
About the family: Transfer RNA (tRNA) molecules are approximately 80 nucleotides in length. Their secondary structure includes four short double-helical elements and three loops (D, anti-codon, and T loops). Further hydrogen bonds mediate the characteristic L-shaped molecular structure. tRNAs have two regions of fundamental functional importance: the anti-codon, which is responsible for specific mRNA codon recognition, and the 3' end, to which the tRNAs corresponding amino acid is attached (by aminoacyl-tRNA synthetases). tRNAs cope with the degeneracy of the genetic code in two manners: having more than one tRNA (with a specific anti-codon) for a particular amino acid; and 'wobble' base-pairing, i.e. permitting non-standard base-pairing at the 3rd anti-codon position.
Source: RNAcentral